AUACACAUAUGUUUUUUUAAUUACAUCUUAAUUCAUUCCAAUUUUACAUAAUUUCUAUAUAUUCUUUGCAUAAGAAACAUUGAAUAUAUUUGUUAGUAAUAUUAAUUAGUAAAUUAUGAUUCUAAUAAUCACAUUUAUUGGUAAAUAUAACAUGUAAACUUUUUAACAGCAUCAAAUAUAUACUAUUUAAGUACAUGUACGUUUUUAUGUUUGUGUUUGCUUCUUCUAAAUAGAGUUUUUAAAAAACGUUUUUAAUGUUUCUCUAAAAAAAUGUAAUAUUUUAUUACUUACAAUAAGUAAUUUCAUAACAUAGAUAAUAAGAUUACUAUACAUCUCUAAAAAAUCGGAAUUGUAAACUAAUAUUUAGAGAUAAUUAUUUGUUAUUACAAUGCUGAUCUUGCAACUUGAUAGUAAAAAUAUUUAAAAACUAAAUUUGAUAUUUUUUCAUUCAUUCAUUUUUAUGCGUCUUAUGUUUUUAAAUAUAAAAAAUAUUUAGGAAAAUAUACUAAAAUAUUCACAAAAAAUAAAAUAUAACAAGUCAGGUUUUGUUUA
This 552-nucleotide long non-coding RNA is filed under the name Physcomitrium patens. Its description in RNAcentral is "long non-coding RNA (PPAT_LNC014168)". Lineage: Eukaryota; Viridiplantae; Streptophyta; Bryopsida; Funariales; Funariaceae. The record is from RNAcentral.